UACAGAGGGUGCAAGCGUUGUUCGGAAUUACUGGGCGUAAAGGGCGCGCAGGCGGCUCAUUUUGUCAGGCGUGAAAGCCCCGGGCUUAACCUGGGAACUGCGUUUGAUACGGAUGGGCUAGAGUUCGGGAGAGGAGCGUGGAAUUCCCAGUGUAGAGGUGAAAUUCGUAGAUAUUGGGAAGAACACCGGUGGCGAAGGCGGCGCUCUGGACCGAGACUGACGCUGAGGCGCGAAAGCGUGGGGAGCAAACAGG
Molecule: ribosomal RNA, 253 nt
Filed under: uncultured bacterium
Lineage: Bacteria
Description: partial 16S ribosomal RNA
Rfam family: Bacterial small subunit ribosomal RNA
Source: RNAcentral